This is a long non-coding RNA of Alosa sapidissima (American shad), 624 nucleotides long. RefSeq lists it as uncharacterized. NCBI's taxonomy places the organism in Eukaryota, Metazoa, Chordata, Actinopteri, Clupeiformes, Clupeidae. The record is from RefSeq and is a predicted model, not a curated record. The transcript is spliced from 5 exons.
CAUAACUACAAUUUCUCAUGUGUCAACUGUGGAGACCACCCAGCUGUAGUGAUUAUGGAUUUGCACAAGAAGGGUGUGUUCAGUAUGCCAGUGAGUGAUGUUGCGGAUCCACCAUCUGACUUUGAUGGUCGUGUUGACCUAGAGGAAUUCUGGCGGUCUGUAUCUGAGGAAAUAGUGUGUCGCGGGUUUUUAAAAAAGCAACAGUAACAAUCCAUUUCGUGUUGUACCAUCUUAUGCGAAAUGGGCUCCGUGGAUUGGCCCUCGGACCAGGGACAGUGCUUUGGUGCUCAACACAAGAGUAUGCUAAAAUCAAAGCCUCAAAGCCUAAUGAAAGCCAAGCAGACAUUGACGUACCAGAAGAACGUCUUUCAGAUGAGUUGAUGAAGUUGAAGGUGGAAGAUUUGCGCAAACUUGUGAAGGACUGUGGCAUGGAUAGCAAGGGCUCCAAAAUGGACCUUCUUCUCUGUCUGAGGGAGGAGAUGCAAACGAGGAGCACCUAUGACAAGGUCUUUGAAAAAGUCUGGGGAGCAUCUGGUGGUUGGGCGGUCAUCAUGUGUCCCUGUGGAGUGGUGAAUUCCGUGAAAUUCAACCUUAGGGCUGAAAGCCCGCGUGACAAUGCCGACA